GAUGAAGAACGUAGCGAAAUGCGAUACUUGGUGUGAAUUGCAGAAUCCCGUGAACCAUCGAGUCUUUGAACGCAAGUUGCGCCCGAAGCCAUUAGGCCGAGGGCACGCCUGCCUGGGCGUCACACGUCGUUGCCCCCCCAUCUACUCCUUCGGGAUUGCGGGGGGCGGAUGAUGGCCUCCCGUGCGCCUCGUCGCGCGGUUGGCAUAAAUGCCAAGUCCUCGGCGACGCACGCCACGACAAUCGGUGGUUGCGAAACCUCGGUUGCCCGUCGUGUGCGGUCGUCGCGCAUCGAGGGCUCGAAAAAAUUGCCGGGCUCCGGCUCGGCUUUCAACGCGACCCCAGGUCAGGCGGGGUUACCCGCUGAAUUUAAGCAUAUCAAUAGCGGAGGA
RNAcentral lists this unclassified non-coding RNA (390 nucleotides) under soil metagenome. RNAcentral describes it as "partial contains 5.8S ribosomal RNA, internal transcribed spacer 2, and large subunit ribosomal RNA". The stretch from base 1 to 122 matches the Rfam family "5.8S ribosomal RNA", at positions 35 to 154 of the family's 154-position model. The record is from RNAcentral.